This 371-nucleotide ribosomal RNA is filed under the name uncultured bacterium. RNAcentral describes it as "bacterial SSU rRNA". It matches the Rfam family "Bacterial small subunit ribosomal RNA", at positions 28 to 400 of the family's 1533-position model. The record is from RNAcentral.
GACGAACGCUGGCGGCGUGCUUAACACAUGCAAGUCGAGCGGUAAGGCCCUUUCGGGGGUACACGAGCGGCGAACGGGUGAGUAACACGUGGGUGACCUGCCCUCAGCUCUGGGAUAAGCCUGGGAAACCGGGUCUAAUACUGGAUAUGACUCCAUGACGCAUGUUGUGGGGUGGAAAGCCUUGUGCGGCUGAGGAUGGGCCCGCGGCCUAUCAGCUUGUUGGUGGGGUGAUGGCCUACCAAGGCGACGACGGGUAGCCGGCCUGAGAGGGCGACCGGCCACACUGGGACUGAGACACGGCCCAGACUCCUACGGGAGGCAGCGGUGGGGAAUCUUGCGCAAUGGGCGAAAGCCUGACGCAGCGACGCCGC